RNAcentral lists this transfer RNA (18 nucleotides) under Coptotermes gestroi. RNAcentral describes it as "partial transfer RNA-Lys". Lineage: Eukaryota; Metazoa; Arthropoda; Insecta; Blattodea; Rhinotermitidae. RNAcentral also lists the same sequence under 1 other name. The record is from RNAcentral.
UCAUCAGAUGACUGAAAG